AUACGGAGGGUGCAAGCGUUAUCCGGAUUCAUUGGGUUUAAAGGGUGCGCAGGCGGAUAUUUAAGUCAGUGGUGACAUCCCGGGGCUUAACCUCGGAACUGCCAUUGAUACUGAAUAUCUGGAAUACGGUUGAAGUGGGCGGAAUGUAGCAUGUAGCGGUGAAAUGCAUAGAGAUGCUACAGAACACCGAUCGCGAAGGCAGCUCACUAAGCCGAUAUUGACGCUCAGGCACGAAAGCGUGGGGAGCGAACAGGAUUAGAAACCCCAGUAGUCC
RNAcentral lists this ribosomal RNA (274 nucleotides) under uncultured bacterium. RNAcentral describes it as "partial 16S ribosomal RNA". It matches the Rfam family "Bacterial small subunit ribosomal RNA", at positions 523 to 796 of the family's 1533-position model. The record is from RNAcentral.